This 3141-nucleotide long non-coding RNA is filed under the name Sus scrofa (pig). RNAcentral's name for it is "lncRNA (ENSSSCG00065063608.1)". The record is from RNAcentral. Lineage: Eukaryota; Metazoa; Chordata; Mammalia; Artiodactyla; Suidae.
UGGAAGCAACCCAAGUGCACAUCGAUGGAUGAAUGGAUAAACCACAGCUAGUCUGUCCACACAGUGAAUUUUACUCGUCCUAAAAAAGGAAAGAAAUCCCGGCAUAUCCUACAACAUGGAGAAAUCUUGAGAACUUAUGAUUUCCUUGUGCUAAGUGACAUAAACCAGUCUCAAAAAGACAAAUUCUGUAUGAUUCUGUAUGCUUCUAUGAGAUGCUUAGCGUAGUCAGAUUCAUAGAUACAUAAAGUAGAAUGGUUGGUGCAGGUUGCAGUUGUGUCACGGGUUCAGGCCUGACCUGGGAACUUCCACAUGCUGUGCGUGCAGCCAAAAGAAAAGGAAAAAAAAAGGAGUAGAAUGGUGGCUGUCAGAGGCUUGAGGACAGAAAUGGGGAGUUGUUUCACGGGUACAGAGUUUCAGUUUUGCAAGAUUAAAAGACUUUAUGGAUGGAUGGGGGUGAUGGUUGCACAACAGUGUGACUGGACUUAAUGCCACUAGGCUGUGCCAUUAAAAAUGGUUAUGAGUUCCUGCUGUGGCGCAAUGGGAUCAGCCGUGCCUCUGCAGCGCCAGGACGCAGGUUCAACCCCCAUCCCGGCACAGUGGGUGAAAGGAUCCAGUGUUGCUGAAGCUGUAGCAUAAGUCGCAACUGCAGCUUGGAUCUGAUCCCUGGCCCAGGAACUCCCUCUGUUGCAGAACGGCCAAAAAUGAAAAACAAACAAACAGUCGUAAGUAAGAUGGUAAGUUUUACGUUCUGUGUGUUUCACCCCCCCCACAACUGUCCCACACAAAGAGGCGGCAUCGAUUUAAAAGAAGCAUCUCUGAGCGGAGGCCUUAGGAGAUGGAUCCGCAGAUAAAGGCCAGUCAGGUCUGAGCCAGGCCAAGCCAGAUGUCUGGCUACACGUUGUGUGACAGUGAGAGGGGAGCGGAUGAAAAGAAGAAAUUCCAAAUGGGUAAUCUAUGGGGAGAAAUAACCAUGUCUUAAAAAUGACACAAUAAGCAUCACGGUCACACCGAGUAUAUAUAAAUAAAUGUGCUCUUUGGCAGGAAACAUGGUAUUUGGAACCGUCCCAGAGUCGUUCUUUUUACUGCAGAUGGAAAGAGGCAGGCAGAGUCUUACUCCGUGUCAGAAACGUCCCACGGAGCCAAGCUCCUUACCCACCACCCAAGCGAGCACUUUCUAUCUGAGUCAGGUGAUCCGGAUGCUACUCAUCUGGAGACCACGCUGGUCCUGAGCCCACACCGGUGGGCUUCCAGCCGCAAAGGGAAGAAGGCAGGCGGGGUGUCGAUCUGAGAAGAAAACCCACCAGGAGAAGGGAGUUAAAACUGUUCCUAGACCGCACAGCGUGGUCACAGCCUAGCAGACCUCGGGGUCCUCGCCUCUGAAGGGAAAGAAGCCUGUAAGCUUCCGUCCAGCGCCUUCCAUGAUCCCGCGGACGCCAGGCUGCAGGAUCUAAUGCCACGUGCUUUGGUGACCACGAGAACUCGUUACAGAUCCUGCCUCAGGUUUAUUUACACAAAUAGCCCAGGAGGAGAGCAGUGCCCUCAGCAGCCCAGGGGUCACACCAGUCCUUCCACCUCCACAUUAGCACAAAGAAGCCUCUGCUCUGGCCUUCGGAGCAGCUUAGGCACCUUUGGGAGCUGGAGCAGGGGCUGGAGCAGAUGCUGGAUCUGGAGCAGGAACGGGAGUAGGAGGCUGAGCUGGCGCUGGAGCUGAAGAAGGAACAGGAGCCGCAGGUGGAGCUGGGGCAGGAGGCAGAGCAGGAGCAGGAACAGGGGCUGGGGCUGGGGCAGGAGCUGGAUCUGGGGAAGGAGCAGGAACAGGACCUGGAGCCGGAGCUGGAGAUAGACCUGGAGCUGGGGCAGGAGCUAAAGGUAAGGCUACAGCUUGAUCUUGGUCUGAGCCCUGGUCUUGCACUUGGCCGGCAGAGCCUUCGCCCCACGGAGAUGCAGGCACGAGCUGGCUUCCCAAGCUUGGGGUGGAUGAGGUCGGUAAGUCCAUUAAGCUCGUGGUCGAUGUGCUCUGGGGCUGGGGCUCGGCCUCCGUGGGCUUUAUGGGGCCUGAGAACCUCGGCCCCCACGCGGGCCCUUAGCUCAGGGCUCUGCACCUUCUGCACACCUGUCUUGUUGUGCUUCUCAGAAAAGCGUGUGUUCCUCGGGAACUCAGGGCCACCCCUUCACAGGUUCACAUCUUUGCGUUCGGGGCUUUUUGAUAGCGUUUCUGGGCCAUUUUCCGGAGAUGCGGGCCGUGCUUCUUGGACUUGGCCGUGUCUUUAUGGACAUUCAAGGCUCCCAAAGUGCCUGGGACCAAAGAGAAAGAAGCUGGCCACCAGGAGGUCCUCAAUUUUAAAGCAAAUUUUGUUCCCGCAACUUAUGAGUUAGUGUAACCAGCUGUACCCAGUGCUCAUCAGAUUCGCCUCAAUGAUCCACUGUUUACAACUCGCCGAAGGUGCUAAGAACAGUGGGGAUUGUGCCAGGGUGUUUUUCCCCCAAGAAAGGACUUUACCAAAUUCUCUCCAUCCCCCAAACUCUUUCCUCGGACCCAGUUUCCUUUCAUGCAUCCUUCCACUCCGUCCUUCGCUCAGCCAGUGUUUAUUGAACGCCUGAUGCAGAUUCCACCCUUGGCCCUGCCCCCGCUGUUGUAGACAAUCUAACACGGUUCCUGAACUCACUUUGCUCACAGCCUGGAGAGGAGAUGGACUUCAUUAGAGUAAUGACGCCAGAGCGUGUGGAGGUGCUUUAGAAAGACGGAGCAUUUUACAAGGAUCCUGUGGAGCCCGCUCUCUCCCGCUGAGCCUGUUUUGUUUUUGUUUUUUGUUUUUUUUUUAAUACUGUGGGCAAAAGGAUAUAUACCUCGCAGGGUGGUUUUUUAAAAAAUAUAUAUAUAACAGGAGUUCCCGCUGUGGCUCAGUGGUUAACAAAUCCAACUAGGAACCAUGAGGUUGCGGGUUCGGUCCCUGCCCUUGCUCAGUGGGUUAAGGAUCCGGCGUUGCCGUGAGCUGUGGUGUAGGUUGCAGACACGGCUCGGAUCCCACGUUGCUGUGGCUGUAAUAUAGGCUGGUGGCUACAGCUCCAAUUGGACCCAUAGCCUGGGAACCUCCAUAUGCCAUGGGUGUGGCCCUAGAAAAAGACAAAAUGACCAAAAAA